RNAcentral lists this ribosomal RNA (253 nucleotides) under uncultured bacterium. Its description in RNAcentral is "partial 16S ribosomal RNA". It matches the Rfam family "Bacterial small subunit ribosomal RNA", at positions 524 to 776 of the family's 1533-position model. The record is from RNAcentral.
UACGUAGGGGGCAAGCGUUGUCCGGAUUUAUUGGGCGUAAAGAGCGUGUAGGCGGCCAGGUAGGUCCGUUGUGAAAACUCGAGGCUCAACCUCGAGACGCCGAUGGAAACCAUCUGGCUAGAGUCCGGAAGAGGAGAGUGGAAUUCCUGGUGUAGCGGUGAAAUGCGCAGAUAUCAGGAGGAACACCAAUAGCGAAGGCAGCUCGCUGGGACGGUACUGACGCUGAGGCGCGAAAGCGUGGGGAGCGAACAGG